Gasterosteus aculeatus aculeatus (three-spined stickleback) is the source of this 1920-nucleotide long non-coding RNA. NCBI's taxonomy places the organism in Eukaryota, Metazoa, Chordata, Actinopteri, Perciformes, Gasterosteidae. The record is from Ensembl.
CGCCCACUGAUCCAACACCUGGAAACAUCAGCACCGCGCAGCAGGUUCCUGAGGAGACGUUAAGGUUUAAAGCAACACGGAGACGCUUUUAUUUUAAAAAUAUACUUUUAAUACAACAGCUGCAUAUAAAUAUUAAAAUAUACAUAAUACAGGUGUACAGUACACUCACACAAAACAAAAUAUUAGGCUUCUAUUUGUACGGCACUUGUAUUUUUUUUUUUGUUUGUUUUGUAACUAUUUUCUUAAAGGUAACUUACGUUAAAGAUGUGUGUUAAUGUGUUAUCGUGGUUACUAGGUUACGGAGACGGGAAGAAGUAUACGUGUUGCUGUACAUAAUAUGUGACGUGACGUUGUGGAAUGUUUGCGCUGCAUCGCUUCCCAUCAUGCAACGCGACGACAACCGGGCUGUCGGUUAAAAGCCACGGAGGUUCGUCUCAGCCGCCUCUCGAGGAUCAUCGUCAUCAUCGUCAUCGUCAUCUGAUGAUUAUCUUUGAAUAAAGCGGAGACACACGAGCUGUAAAAACACCAGCAGCUUUGCAGAGAACAACUCGGCUUCCUCCGUCAGGUGAGAUCAGACAGCCGAGUGCGGCCAUCAAUCAAUGGACUAUCAAGGCCCGCCCCUUUUUUAUCAGACGUCCUUCUUCUCUGAUCACGCUUGGAUUGCGCCACGCUAACGUUAACAUAGGAAUGUUUGUCAUUGUAAAAGAGCAUUUGUGGUAAAAAUGUGUAAAGACAAUAAGGGAAAUGCGAGUAAGGAGAAGUGACGGCGUUUCGCUCACGGAGCCGCUUAACGACGAUAAAUGUUACAGCGUAAAACCGACGACGAGGCGCUAAGAUGACGAACAUACGGAACGCGGCAGAAUUCAACCGGAUCAAAAGCGUGUUUGUCUCUGUACGUAAUGAGGCCCACGGAGACAGAACCGAAAAGCUCGUUGACCAUUUUGCCAAGUCCAGCCCCCCCCCAACUAAACAGCCAAUGUGGAUCCAGCUUUCACUUUCUCCUCGGGGGGGGGGGCGGGGGGGCUGAGGACUGUUUACUUCCCUCUGUCUCCGGCUGACUUUAUGCAAAGUCACGCUCCACUAAAGGUGCUCUGGCGCAUCGCAGCGCCCCGUCUCAAAAGCUCGGGCCCCUCGAGGAGGUGAGGAGGUCAGGGCUCCUCCCCCAGCGGAGACAGGAAGUGGAGCUUCUGUCGGAGGGCCGGCGGCGCGUUGCAGAGAUUUGGAACGCCGCCCAGACGAGAGCUCAUCAAGGCUGGAAACAAAGCUGAGCGGCUUCUGCCUCCAUGUUCCUCAAUCGGAGGCCGACAUUUUGGUUGCCUUGUUUUUGGCUGUGUGUGUCUGUGUGUGCGUGUGUCUGUGUGCGUGUGUGUGUCUGUGUGCGUGUGUGCGUGCAGUAGUCAUGGUGACUCGGCUGCACGUGGGGCUCUGAGCUGCAGGCACUUCACAAGGCGACGCAAACAAACUGCUCAUUACAACAGAACAUAAAGUGCCCCCCCCUCUUGUGCCCCUACACGUUUGCAUUGCUUUAUCUUUUCUUACAGUAGCACCACACUCCGUCUCUUCUCCACCUCGGGGGGGCGGGUGGAGGUGCUUGUUUACCACAGUGCAGUUCAAAAGGGUCUUUGCUCUUUUCGUUUUUUACGUCCGACAACAUUUAGAGACCUCGGACACGUCGGUCUGCAGCUUCAGCAAAGACCACAGAAGAAGGGCUGAUUUUAGAAAUCUGACCGACGCCCACUACGUGAGCGUUGGGGGGGGGGGGGGGGGGCUCCUCAAAAAACAACAAAAUCUUAACUAAAAAACAACAACCACAAAACAAAUCUUAUUUGCUUUCUAAAUUGUUUUUUUUCUUCUAGUCGUUCAGGGGGGGGAGCUACAGGAAUCAGGUCGGGGGGGCUGAAGAAACGGCUCGGGGGGGGC